RNAcentral lists this ribosomal RNA (293 nucleotides) under uncultured bacterium. Its description in RNAcentral is "partial 16S ribosomal RNA". It matches the Rfam family "Archaeal small subunit ribosomal RNA", at positions 455 to 747 of the family's 1478-position model. The record is from RNAcentral.
GUGCCAGCCGCCGCGGUAAUACCGGCAGCCCGAGUGAUGGCCGAUCUUAUUGGGCCUAAAGCGUCCGUAGCUGGCCGACCAAGUCUCCCGGGAAAUCCACCCGCCCAACGGGUGGGCGUCCGGUAGAAACUGGCCGGCUUGGAACCGGAAGGCUCAGAGAGUACGUCCGGGGUAGGAGUGAAAUCCUAUAAUCCUGGACGGACCACCGUUGGCGAAAGCGCCUCAGGAAGACGGACCCGACGGUGAGGGACGAAAGCUAGGGUCUCGAACCGGAUUAGAAACCCUAGUAGUCC